GUGCCAGCCGCCGCGGUAAUACGGAAGGUCCGGGCGUUAUCCGGAUUUAUUGGGUUUAAAGGGAGCGCAGGCUGGCUUUUAAGCGCGACGUGAAAUGCGGCGGCUCAACCGUCCGAAGUGCGUCGCGAACUGGAGGCCUUGAGUGAGUUCGACGCCGGCGGAAUUCGUGGUGUAGCGGUGAAAUGCUUAGAUAUCACGAGGAACCCCGAUUGCGAAGGCAGCCGGCGAGGCCUUUACUGACGCUAAAGCUCGAAGGUGCGGGUAUCGAACAGGAUUAGAUACCCUGGUAGUCCGCACGGUAAACGAUGGAUGCCCGCUGUUUGCGAUACACUGUGAGCGGCCAAGCGAAAGCGUUAAGCAUCCCACCUGGGGAGUACGCCGGCAACGGUGAAACUCAAAGGAAUUGACGGGGGCCCGCACAAGCGGAGGAACAUGUGGUUUAAUUCGAUGAUGCGCGAGGAACCUUACCCGGGCUUGAACUGCAGCGGAACGAUUCAGAGAUGAUGAGGUCCUUCGGGACCGCUGUGGAGGUGCUGCAUGGUUGUCGUCAGCUCGUGCCGUGAGGUGUCGGCUUAAGUGCCAUAACGAGCGCAACCCCUCUCUUCAGUUGCCAUCGGGUUAUGCCGGGCACUCUGGAGACACUGCCACCGUAAGGUGUGAGGAAGGUGGGGAUGACGUCAAAUCAGCACGGCCCUUACGUCCGGGGCUACACACGUGUUACAAUGGGUGGUACAGAGAGCCGGUCUGCCGCAAGUCAGAUCCAAUCAAGAAAGCCAUCCUCAGUUCGGACUGGGGUCUGCAACCCGACCCCACGAAGCUGGAUUCGCUAGUAAUCGCGCAUCAGCCAUGGCGCGGUGAAUACGUUCCCGGGCCUUGUACACACCGCCCGU
RNAcentral lists this ribosomal RNA (890 nucleotides) under uncultured bacterium. RNAcentral's name for it is "bacterial SSU rRNA". It matches the Rfam family "Bacterial small subunit ribosomal RNA", at positions 505 to 1397 of the family's 1533-position model. The record is from RNAcentral.